RNAcentral lists this ribosomal RNA (514 nucleotides) under Tachypeza nubila. RNAcentral's name for it is "partial 16S ribosomal RNA". The stretch from base 390 to 514 matches the Rfam family "Bacterial large subunit ribosomal RNA", at positions 2473 to 2597 of the family's 2925-position model. The record is from RNAcentral. Lineage: Eukaryota; Metazoa; Arthropoda; Insecta; Diptera; Hybotidae.
GUCCUUUUGAUUUUUAUAUAAGGUUUAACCUGCCCACUGAAUUUAUUUUAAUGGCCGCAGUAUUUUAACUGUGCAAAGGUAGCAUAAUCAUUAGUUUUUUAAUUGAAAGCUUGUAUGAAUGGUUGGACGAAAUAUUAACUGUUUCAUUAAAAUUUAUAUUAGAAUUUUAUUUUUUAAUUAAAAAGUUAAAAUGUAUUUAAAAGACGAGAAGACCCUAUAGAUCUUUAUAAUUUAAAAUAAUUUUAUUUAUAAAGAUUAAUUAAAUUAAAAAUUAUUAAAUUAUUUUAUUGGGGUGAUAGUGAAAUUUAAUAAACUUUCAUAUUAUAUUAAACAUAAAUAUAUGAUUCUAUGAUCCAUUAUUAGUGAUUAAUAAAUUAAGUUACCUUAGGGAUAACAGCGUAAUUUUUUUAGAGAGUUCAUAUCGAUAAAAAAGAUUGCGACCUCGAUGUUGGAUUAAGAGAUAUUUUUAGGUGUAGCCGCUUAAAGGUUAAGUCUGUUCGACUUUUAAAUUCUU